RNAcentral lists this ribosomal RNA (253 nucleotides) under uncultured bacterium. RNAcentral's name for it is "partial 16S ribosomal RNA". It matches the Rfam family "Bacterial small subunit ribosomal RNA", at positions 524 to 776 of the family's 1533-position model. The record is from RNAcentral.
UACGUAGGUGACCAGCGUUGUCCGGAUUUACUGGGCGUAAAGAGCGCGCAGGCGGUCGUUCAAGUCGAGUGUGAAAGCCCCCGGCUCAACUGGGGAGGGUCACUCGAUACUGAUCGACUGGAAGGCAGGAGAGGGAAGCGGAAUUCCCGGUGUAGUGGUGAAAUGCGUAGAUAUCGGGAGGAACACCAGUGGCGAAGGCGGCUUCCUGGCCUGUUCUUGACGCUGAGGCGCGAAGGCUAGGGGAGCAAACGGG